UAACACUAACUGGAGGACCGAACCGACUAAUGUUGAAAAAUUAGCGGAUGACUUGUGGCUGGGGGUGAAAGGCCAAUCAAACCGGGAGAUAGCUGGUUCUCCCCGAAAGCUAUUUAGGUAGCGCCUCGUGAAUUCAUCUCCGGGGGUAGAGCACUGUUUCGGCAAGGGGGUCAUCCCGACUUACCAACCCGAUGCAAACUGCGAAUACCGGAGAAUGUUAUCACGGGAGACACACGGCGGGUGCUAACGUCCGUCGUGAAGAGGGAAACAACCCAGACCGCCAGCUAAGGUCCCAAAGUCAUGGUUAAGUGGGAAACGAUGUGGGAAGGCCCAGACAGCCAGGAUGUUGGCUUAGAAGCAGCCAUCAUUUAAAGAAAGCGUAAUAGCUCACUGGUCGAGUCGGCCUGCGCGGAAGAUGUAACGGGGCUAAACCAUGCACCGAAGCUGCGGCAGCGACGCUUAUGCGUUGUUGGGUAGGGGAGCGUUCUGUAAGCCUGUGAAGGUGGCCUGUGAGGGUUGCUGGAGGUAUCAGAAGUGCGAAUGCUGACAUAAGUAACGAUAAAGCGGGUGAAAAGCCCGCUCGCCGGAAGACCAAGGGUUCCUGUCCAACGUUAAUCGGGGCAGGGUGAGUCGACCCCUAAGGCGAGGCCGAAAGGCGUAGUCGAUGGGAAACAGGUUAAUAUUCCUGUACUUGGUGUUACUGCGAAGGGGGGACGGAGAAGGCUAUGUUGGCCGGGCGACGGUUGUCCCGGUUUAAGCGUGUAGGCUGGUUUUCCAGGCAAAUCCGGAAAAUCAAGGCUGAGGCGUGAUGACGAGGCACUACGGUGCUGAAGCGACAAAUGCCCUGCUUCCAGGAAAAGCCUCUAAGCAUCAGGUAACAUUAAAUCGUACCCCAAACCGACACAGGUGGUCAGGUAGAGAAUACCAAGGCGCUUGAGAGAACUCGGGUGAAGGAACUAGGCAAAAUGGUGCCGUAACUUCGGGAGAAGGCACGCUGAUAUGUAGGUGAAGCGACUUGCUCGUGGAGCUGAAAUCAGUCGAAGAUACCAGCUGGCUGCAACUGUUUAUUAAAAACACAGCACUGUGCAAACACGAAAGUGGACGUAUACGGUGUGACGCCUGCCCGGUGCCGGAAGGUUAAUUGAUGGGGUUAGCGGUAACGCGAAGCUCUUGAUCGAAGCCCCGGUAAACGGCGGCCGUAACUAUAACGGUCCUAAGGUAGCGAAAUUCCUUGUCGGGUAAGUUCCGACCUGCACGAAUGGCGUAAUGAUGGCCAGGCUGUCUCCACCCGAGACUCAGUGAAAUUGAACUCGCUGUGAAGAUGCAGUGUACCCGCGGCAAGACGGAAAGACCCCGUGAACCUUUACUAUAGCUUGACACUGAACAUUGAGCCUUGAUGUGUAGGAUAGGUGGGAGGCUUUGAAGUGUGGACGCCAGUCUGCAUGGAGCCGACCUUGAAAUACCACCCUUUAAUGUUUGAUGUUCUAACGUGGGCCCCUUACCGGGGUUGCGGACAGUGUCUGGUGGGUAGUUUGACUGGGGCGGUCUCCUCCUAAAGAGUAACGGAGGAGCACGAAGGUUGGCUAAUCCUGGUCGGACAUCAGGAGGUUAGUGCAAUGGCAUAAGCCAGCUUGACUGCGAGCGUGACGGCGCGAGCAGGUGCGAAAGCAGGUCAUAGUGAUCCGGUGGUUCUGAAUGGAAGGGCCAUCGCUCAACGGAUAAAAGGUACUCCGGGGAUAACAGGCUGAUACCGCCCAAGAGUUCAUAUCGACGGCGGUGUUUGGCACCUCGAUGUCGGCUCAUCACAUCCUGGGGCUGAAGUAGGUCCCAAGGGUAUGGCUGUUCGCCAUUUAAAGUGGUACGCGAGCUGGGUUUAGAACGUCGUGAGACAGUUCGGUCCCUAUCUGCCGUGGGCGCUGGAGAACUGAGGGGGGCUGCUCCUAGUACGAGAGGACCGGAGUGGACGCAUCACUGGUGUUCGGGUUGUCAUGCCAAUGGCACUGCCCGGUAGCUAAAUGCGGAAGAGAUAAGUGCUGAAAGCAUCUAAGCACGAAACUUGCCCCGAGAUGAGUUCUCCCUGACUCCUUGAGAGUCCUGAAGGAACGUUGAAGACGACGACGUUGAUAGGCCGGGUGUGUAAGCGCAGCGAUGCGUUGAGCUAACCGGUACUAAUGAACCGUGAG
This 2183-nucleotide ribosomal RNA is filed under the name Escherichia coli. Its description in RNAcentral is "partial 23S ribosomal RNA". It matches the Rfam family "Bacterial large subunit ribosomal RNA", at positions 757 to 2915 of the family's 2925-position model. Lineage: Bacteria; Pseudomonadati; Pseudomonadota; Gammaproteobacteria; Enterobacterales; Enterobacteriaceae. The record is from RNAcentral.